Molecule: ribosomal RNA, 400 nt
Filed under: uncultured fungus
Lineage: Eukaryota; Fungi
Description: eukaryotic LSU rRNA
Rfam family: 5.8S ribosomal RNA (bases 1-100)
Source: RNAcentral
GCGAUAAGUAAUGUGAAUUGCAGAAUUCGGUGAAUCAUCGAAUCUUUGAACGCAUCUUGCGCUCCUUGGUAUUCCGAGGAGCAUGCCUGUUUGAGUGUCAUUUAAGUUCUCAACCACAUCAAUUCUUUUGGUGAGGCUUGGACGUGGGGGUAUUUUUGCGGGCUUCUGCAGAUUUGAAGUCGGCUCCCCUGAAAUGCAUUAGUGGUAUCUGAGCAGAAGAAACUACUACAGGUGUGAUAAUUAUCUACGCCUCGGUAGGCUGCAUAAUCAGAUUGCACUGCUUCUAACAAGUGGAGGGAUCCCUUUUGGGGACACGACCCACAUUUGACGAAUUUGACCUCAAAUCAGGUAGGACUACCCGCUGAACUUAAGCAUAUCAAUAAGCGGAGGAAAAGAAACU